RNAcentral lists this ribosomal RNA (382 nucleotides) under uncultured eukaryote. RNAcentral describes it as "partial 18S ribosomal RNA". It matches the Rfam family "Eukaryotic small subunit ribosomal RNA", at positions 592 to 976 of the family's 1831-position model. The record is from RNAcentral.
CAAUAGCGUAUAUUUAAGUUGUUGCAGUUAAAAAGCUCGUAGUUGGAUUUCUGGUGGGAGCGAUCGGUCUGGCGCUUAGCGCGAGUACUUGCAUCGUCUCCGGCCAUCCUUGGGGAGAGUCUGUCUGGCAUUAGGUUGUCGGGCAGAGGAUCCUCAUCGUUUACUGUGAAAAAUUAGAGUGUUCAAAGCAGGCUUAUGCCGUUGAAUAUAUUAGCAUGGAAUGAUAAGAUAGGACUUUGGUACUAUUUUGUUGGUUUGCGCACCAAAGUAAUGAUUAAUAGGGACAGUUGGGGGUAUUCGUAUUCCGUUGUCAGAGGUGAAAUUCUUGGAUUUACGGAAGACGAACUACUGCGAAAGCAUUUACCAAGGAUGUUUUCAUUAA